UGGGGAAUAUUGCACAAUGGGGGAAACCCUGAUGCAGCGACGCCGCGUGAGCGAUGAAGGCUUUCGAGUCGUAAAGCUCUGUCCUAUGGGAAGAUAAUGACGGUACCUGUAGAACAAGCCACGGCUAACUACGUGCCAGCAGCCGCGGUAAUACGUAGGUGGCGAGCGUUAUCCGGAUUUACUGGGCGUAAAGGGCGUGUAGGCGGCUAGAUAAGUGUGAUGUUUAAAUCCAAGGCUUAACCUUGGGGUUCAUUACAAACUGUUUAGCUUGAGUGCUGGAGAGGAUAGUGGAAUUCCUAGUGUAGCGGUAAAAUGCGUAGAUAUUAGGAGGAACACCGGUGGCGAAGGCGGCUAUCUGGACAGUAACUGACGCUGAGGCGCGAAAGCGUGGGGAGCAAACAGG
RNAcentral lists this ribosomal RNA (403 nucleotides) under Verrucomicrobiota bacterium. RNAcentral describes it as "Verrucomicrobia bacterium partial 16S ribosomal RNA". It matches the Rfam family "Bacterial small subunit ribosomal RNA", at positions 355 to 776 of the family's 1533-position model. The record is from RNAcentral. Lineage: Bacteria; Pseudomonadati; Verrucomicrobiota.